AGAAGGCUGCAAGGAGUCCUGUGGGAGGCCCUGGGGUCUUAUUAGUCGAAGGAAACAAAUCAUCAUACCUUUAAUACUGGCUCCAAUUGGCUCCUUUCAUGAGUAGUCUUGGAGAGAUAAUUGCUAAUCUGGAAUGGACAUACUUCUUGAUCUUGGUUGGCAUUUUUCAAACUGUGAUGAAGACACUUUUUAUAGCCCUGUUCAGAAUACAGAAGGAGACCUACUCUUCUCUGAUCACAAUCUAAAUGCUACAGACAGAGGACGUGUGGAAAGAUCUGUCAUGGAUUAAAUAUAAACAAAAAUGAAGCAAGAAACAAAACUAGUCUUUCAAUGAAAAGCUGAAGAUACUGAAGAAGAAAUGCAAAAUCAUUUCACAAGAAAAACAAAAUCAGACCAGGAUCACUUGGCGUACCAUCCUAGCAAAAUAUAUCUUCUUGGAGUUGCCCUGA
Molecule: long non-coding RNA, 449 nt
Filed under: Pan troglodytes (chimpanzee)
Lineage: Eukaryota; Metazoa; Chordata; Mammalia; Primates; Hominidae
Description: lincRNA
Source: RNAcentral